Molecule: ribosomal RNA, 497 nt
Filed under: uncultured bacterium
Lineage: Bacteria
Description: partial 16S ribosomal RNA
Rfam family: Bacterial small subunit ribosomal RNA
Source: RNAcentral
GAUGAACGCUGGCGGCGUGCCUAAUACAUGCAAGUCGAGCGAACAGACGAGGAGCUUGCUCCUCGGACGUUAGCGGCGGACGGGUGAGUAACACGUGGAUAACCUACCUAUAAGAUAGGGAUAACUUCGGGAAACCGGAGCUAAUACCGGAUAAUAUAUUGAACCGCAUGGUUCAAAAGUGUAUGACGGUUUUGCUGUCACUUAUAGAUGGAUCCGCGGCGCAUUAGCUAGUUGGUAAGGUAACGGCUUACCAAGGCGACGAUGCGUAGCCGACCUGAGAUGGUGAUCGGCAACACUACAACUGAGACGCGCUCCAGACUCCUAAGGGAGGCAGCGGUAAGGAUUCUUCCGCAAUGCGCGAUGGCGUGACUGAGCAACGCCGCGGGAGUCAUGACGAUCUUCGUAUCGUAGAACUCUGUUAUCAUGGGAGUACAAAUGUGUAACUAACUAUGCCCGUUUUGACGGUACCUGACCAGAAAGCCCCGGCUAACUACGUG